AAUGGCUAUCAGCUUGCCCUAGAUGAGAACCUGGCAGCCUCCUUUUUGGGGUCUGCCCUGUGCAGUAACAGGUAUUAGCAUUCUAGCAGCAGCUUGAUGGUCAUGCAUGAUACUGCAUACAGAU
Non-coding RNA from Podarcis muralis (Common wall lizard), 124 nucleotides. Ensembl annotates it as small Cajal body-specific RNA 16. Lineage: Eukaryota; Metazoa; Chordata; Lepidosauria; Squamata; Lacertidae. The record is from Ensembl.